Long non-coding RNA from Equus caballus (horse), 388 nucleotides. RefSeq lists it as uncharacterized. The record is from RefSeq and is a predicted model, not a curated record. NCBI's taxonomy places the organism in Eukaryota, Metazoa, Chordata, Mammalia, Perissodactyla, Equidae.
GAAGAGAAUUGCGGAGUUCUUAAUCAUUCAGAGGGAAUCCUCCAGCUUGCCCUGCGUCUCUCGGAAGAGGGGACCCAGACCCUCUGGCUCUGCCAGUUCUACUUCCUCCACCAUUACCAACGACGGGGACAGCAGAUGCCCAGGGGCUCAACAGGCAGAAACAUAACCUUCUGGAGUGGGUGGAGUGGAAGAUGGAGUAUGGGAAUACAUUUUCCAAAAUUUAUCCCAUUAAUAGUUCCUGUUUGGAUUCCUCUAACAAGAAGCAAGCACACGUGAUCCGGAAGGUAGGACAACAGCAACUGAGCAUUCCAUGGAGAAUGCCUAAGUAAAAUGUGGUGAGUGGGAUAUUUCUGAGCAGUAAGAAGUAACAACCUAGAAACAUAUAAAG